UUCAUUAAUCAAGAACGAAAGUUAGGGGAUCGAAGAUGAUCAGAUACCGUCGUAGUCUUAACCAUAAACUAUGCCGACUAGGGAUCGGGUGGUGUUUUUUUAAUGACCCACUCGGCACCUUACGAGAAAUCAAAGUCUUUGGGUUCUGGGGGGAGUAUGAUCGCAAGGCUGAAACUUAAAGGAAUUGACGGAAGGGCACCACCAGGAGUGGAGCCUGCGGCUUAAUUUGACUCAACACGGGGAAACUCACCAGGUCCAGACACAAUAAGGAUUGACAGAUUGAGAGCUCUUUCUUGAUUUUGUGGGUGGUGGUGCAUGGCCGUUCUUAGUUGGUGGAGUGAUUUGUCUGCUUAAUUGCGAUAACGAACGAGACCUUAACCUACUAAAUAGUAGUGCUAGCAUUUGCUGGUUGUCUACUUCUUAGAGGGACUAUCGGUUUCAAGCCGAUGGAAGUUUGAGGCAAUAACAGGU
RNAcentral lists this ribosomal RNA (471 nucleotides) under uncultured fungus. RNAcentral describes it as "SSU rRNA". It matches the Rfam family "Eukaryotic small subunit ribosomal RNA", at positions 969 to 1461 of the family's 1831-position model. Lineage: Eukaryota; Fungi. The record is from RNAcentral.